RNAcentral lists this ribosomal RNA (256 nucleotides) under uncultured bacterium. Its description in RNAcentral is "partial 16S ribosomal RNA". It matches the Rfam family "Bacterial small subunit ribosomal RNA", at positions 524 to 777 of the family's 1533-position model. The record is from RNAcentral.
AACGUAGGAGGCGAGCGUUAUCCGGAUUUACUGGGUGUAAAGCGCGUGCAGGCGGUUGGCUAAGUUGGGUGUGAAAGCUCCUGGCUCAACUGGGAGAGGUCGCUCAAGACUGGCCGACUGGAGAGCAGUAUGGGGAAGGUGGAAUUCCGGGGUGUAGUGGUGAAAUGCGUAGAUAUCCGGAGGAACACCAGUGGCGAAGGCGGCCUUCUGGACUGCUUCUGACGCUCAGACGCGAAAGCUAGGGGAGCAAACGGGG